RNAcentral lists this ribosomal RNA (425 nucleotides) under uncultured bacterium. RNAcentral describes it as "partial 16S ribosomal RNA". It matches the Rfam family "Bacterial small subunit ribosomal RNA", at positions 354 to 796 of the family's 1533-position model. The record is from RNAcentral.
GUUAGGAAUAUUGGACAAUGGGCGCAAGCCUGAUCCAGCCAUGCCGCGUGAGUGAUGAAGGCCUUCGGGUUGUAAAGCUCUUUAGCCGAUGAUUAUAAUGACUGUAGUCGGAAAAUAAGCCCCGGCUAACUUCGUGCCAGCAGCCGCGGUAAUACGAAGGGGGCGAGCGUUAUGCGGAAUCACUGGGCGUAAAGCGUGCGUAGGCGGCUUUGCAAGUUGGGAGUGAAAGCCCAGGGCUCAACCCUGGAAUUGCUCUCAAAACUGCAAGGCUCGAAUUCGGGAGAGGAUAGCGGAAUUGUCAGUGUAGCAGUGAAAUGCGUAGAUAUUGACAGGAACACCAGUGGCGUAAGCGGCUAUCUGGACCGAUAUUGACGCUGAGGCACGAAAGCGUGGGGAUCAAACAGGAUUAGAUACCCUGGUAGUCC